This 279-nucleotide long non-coding RNA is filed under the name Serinus canaria (Common canary). RNAcentral describes it as "lncRNA (ENSSCAG00000013119.1)". Lineage: Eukaryota; Metazoa; Chordata; Aves; Passeriformes; Fringillidae. The record is from RNAcentral.
CUUUGGAGGAGUAAAUAUGAAAGACUCGUACUGCAGGCUCACCAGCCAAGGCGCACUGUGCCACUUCGCGUUCCCAGCCGAAGCCAACACUCCAGGCGUUUGGGAAGGCUGUCUGGUUGCUGUCUUAACUGUUGGUCACACACACCUGGGCCGAAAACGACUGGCAUCUGAAACCCCUUGGACUUGCUGGAGGCAGCCUAGUCUACCUGCGGAUGUUGUGAAUUAGGAGCUGGCCAAAGAGUGGGAGAGCUCCAGGAUCCCUCCCCAAAAAAGAGUGCU